RNAcentral lists this long non-coding RNA (972 nucleotides) under Eutrema salsugineum. Its description in RNAcentral is "long non-coding RNA (ESAL_LNC000608)". Lineage: Eukaryota; Viridiplantae; Streptophyta; Magnoliopsida; Brassicales; Brassicaceae. The record is from RNAcentral.
UGCAAGAUAUGCGAUGAACUGCGAGGUCGACAAGCUGCGAGGUCGACGAGCUGCAAGGUCGACGAGCUGCGAAGUUGAUGAGCUGCAAGAUCGAGAAACUGCGAGGUUGACGAGCUGCAAAGUAGACGAGCUGCGAGGUAGACAAGCUGCGAGGUAGACGAGCUGCGAGGUUGACGAGCUCAAAGUCGAAUAGACGAGGAGCCGCAAAGCUGCGUGGUCGAUGAGCUGCGAGGUCGACGAGCUGCGAGGUCGACAAGCUGCGAAGUUGAUGAGCUGCGAGGUCGUAUAGACGAGGAGCCGCAAAGCUGUGAGGUCAACGAGCCAUAUAGCUGCAAGAUUAACGAGUAAUAUAAUGCGAGUUUGAACUUGGUUAAUCGAACAUAUAGAUACAGACUGAAAUAAAUGCGAAGUGGGAACUCGGCUUAUUAGAUCUGUAGGUGCGAGGUAAGACCUCGGCUUAUCCUGUUUUGUUUACGGGUAAGGACUCGAUUUAGUAUGCUGUAGGUGCGAAUAUUAGCUCGGUCCACCUGUUACCUUCUUAGAUCGUAUCCGAGUAGCGAAGAUGUGUUCGGCGUUUUUACUCGUGCGAUCUAAGAAAUUAUGCGAGACUGGGCCCGGCUUACUUUCGUAUAGUCAUAAGGUUUUUGUUUCUUAAGAUUUAUAAGAAAUUGCACUACUGGGAAUGCGUUUUUUACGGAUCGCGCAUCUAGCUCGGAUGUCGAUGUCAAUGAUGUCGAGGUAUUUCAGCGAGUUACGUUGUAACUACGAACUGGCGAGAUGAGCUCGGCUUUAAGAAAAGAGAGUAAAAAAUAAAACUAGCUCAACACUUAUCUUGUUUAUAAGUGAGUUCCUUUGUUUGAUGUCGAUAAGCUACGAGGUUAGCUCAACUAUGCAUGGUUUCCUUUGGCAAGGUCAGCUGGGUUCUUAACAUUGCCGAGCUGCUUUGGGGUGUAGAAAAUCUUCUUGCCCCCC